CCUACGGGAGGCAGCAGUGGGGAAUAUUGGGCAAUGGCCGAAAGGCUGACCCAGCAACGCCGCGUGGUGGAAGAAGCCCUUCGUGGUGUGAACACCUUUUCUGGGGGAAGAUAAUGACGGUACCCCAGGGAUAAGGGACGGCUAACUACGUGCCAGCAGCCGCGGUAAU
This 169-nucleotide ribosomal RNA is filed under the name uncultured bacterium. RNAcentral's name for it is "partial 16S ribosomal RNA". It matches the Rfam family "Bacterial small subunit ribosomal RNA", at positions 338 to 524 of the family's 1533-position model. The record is from RNAcentral.